UUUACUGAAAGUUAACUCAUUUUCAAACAAACUUUAUGAAGAACGUUGGAGCAAAUUCGGAUAUUCAUUUGGUGCUUUUUGAUGAAGAAAACAGGGUAGUUGGUUUUCACUCGAAAUCAGGAUGUCUCUGGUUUUUCUUAUAUUUCAGAGUGUACCGAUGGAGUUAGAAUCUCUAAUUUGUAUGGUUGGAAAGCUUAUGCAAUGUACUACAACUUUCAUGAAGAAAUUGUAAACCAAAAACGACUAAAAAUCAGUUACAUUGUAGGGACAAGUUAAAGAGGUCGUGUGCGCGCGAUUCUGGAAGUGGUUAUGUUUUGAGGGUUAUAUGUGUUUAUGCACGGGGAAUCAGAUUUAUAUGUCUUCAGGUAGAGAUCGAGUUCCCGGUGCCUGAUAGACUGCCUUAGUCUGCUGAAGCUCCAUUAUCGAUUGCCAGUACGUAUUUUGAGUUGGGCAUAGAGUCUGUUGUGUUAUGAUGUAUAUACACCCUUGUAUGUUAUAGAUACUCCACAGUUUGUAUAAGCUUCAGGAGCUGUAGUUGUGUAAAUUUUUGUUGGUUAUAUUUUGAUUAAGGUGUCUUUAGGUUUACCCGUGAAAUCAGUAAAUUUUGAGGUACACUUCAUGUAUGUGUUUGACUAGCCUAGGAUCCGCUGUGUUUUGUUGCAUGUAUAAUAGUUUAUAUACUAGAUUGGCAAGUUCAUCAUAUGAAAGUUUUAAGCAGAGUCGACAGAUACAUGUAUAGAAAAGCGUUGUUCGUCGGCUUCACGCCCGUGUAGGGUGGCUCGAACCGGCGCGACGUGAGUGCGACUCAGCUACGGCGUAUACGCAGGCGCGACUCAAUGCAGAUUGUGUGGGCGCGACCCGAUGUGGUCAUGCGGGCAUGGCUCGAUGCAGAUUGUGCGGGCGCGGCUCGGGUCGCAGGGCAAGGACUCGAGUCGAUCAGCUUCACGCGGUGAAAAGACGCGGGCGCGCAGGUCAGGUUUCGGGUUCGAGCGACAGUUGAGACGGUGGGGCUCGAUCUUCCGACGAUGCGGCGCUGACCAGGUGAUGGCAAACUCUGAUGGUCGAUGACGGAACAAGGCGACGUUUGGUGGACCGGUGUAGACGAUGACAAAUCGAGGCAGACUACGGAGGGAGGGAGGUGUGCAGGUCGGGAUCUUGGCUUCGACGGACAGUCACGGUCCACUUCCGAUGGCGAUCAUACGAACACAGCGGCGGCUGGUCUUGCGGUUAGAGCUGUGCGAUCGGCUAACGGCGGCAGCAGAUCUGGCGGUUAGGGUUUUUUUCUCUUUUCUUUCUUGUUUCUUUCUUUCUUUCCUUUCUCAAUGAAGGGGAUGGUGGUUUGCACGGGUCCCAAUAGUCCUUUUAAUGAGAAAAAUAAUAAUAAUAAUAUGUUUAUUAUUAUUCUUCCUUUCUCUUUUCCUAAUUUAAUUAAUUAAAUCCACUUAAUCUCUUUCUUAUUUAAA
Molecule: long non-coding RNA, 1463 nt
Organism: Cucumis melo (muskmelon)
Lineage: Eukaryota; Viridiplantae; Streptophyta; Magnoliopsida; Cucurbitales; Cucurbitaceae
Exons: 2
Source: RefSeq, a predicted model, not a curated record